AACGUAGGAGACAACCGUUAUCCGGAGUUACUGGGCGUAAAGGGCGUGUAGGCGGUUUGUUAAGUCUGGCGUGAAAGCUCUCGGCUAAACCGGGAGAGGUCGUUGGAUACUGGCAAACUAGAGGACGGUAGAGGCGUGUGGAAUUCCGGGUGUAGUGGUGAAAUGCGUAGAGAUCCGGAGGAACACCAGUGGCGAAGGCGACACGCUGGGCCGUACCUGACGCUAAAGCGCGACAGCAUGGGGAGCAAACGGG
This 253-nucleotide ribosomal RNA is filed under the name uncultured bacterium. RNAcentral describes it as "partial 16S ribosomal RNA". It matches the Rfam family "Bacterial small subunit ribosomal RNA", at positions 524 to 776 of the family's 1533-position model. The record is from RNAcentral.